UUUCCGUCAAGCUCACUCAACUCAAGUUAGGUUCUGUCAGUCGCUGUGUUUGUGUAUUGUGUUGUGAAAAAUUAUCCGUAUCGAUGAAUAUCAAUGGGAAAUCCUGCUGAUUACGACGCCAAACGAUGGGUCGAUUGUUGUGUUUGUGGCUUUAAUGCAUUGUUCGAGCAGUGAUGAUGGCCAAGUGAAGUGUUUUGUGUCGUAUGCUGGGUUGUCAGCAACAGUGAGAUCCUUUCUCUGGAUAUAUCGUCCUCAAGACGACGUCGGAUCAUAACACGGGAAGGUGACACACCAUGUCGGCAAAAAACAUCCCAGGAGAUAAGGUAAAGCGGAUGUCUUUUCUUAAUCAACGUUUAAGAAUUCUCCGAAUAAUAGUCUGGUAAAAGGCAAUGCUCCAACUUCAAGAUAAACACACAUGGCUCAGACAUGAGGUAUAACUCAACUUUGUUACUUCCCAAGAUCCUGCCGUGGACGUUGAUGGAACAAUAUACGUGAGCAUUUAAUUUACUUACAUUAGCCUGACUUUUAUGAGAACACUAAACAAAGAACCAGUUCACUAAUUUCAUUUUGAUACUUUGUCCGGGUCCUGUUCUCAAUGGUAUCGGAAAAUAUGCAUAGAUCCAUCUUGGAUCUACUGGUUGGAUCUAUCGAGAAUGAAGGGAGACAUCAACAGCUGAUGACAACUUAUUAUGAGACGGACUUUGAAAUGACAACUUGUGGGAGUGCUACUAUUGACGUCAUAUUGCAAAGUCUGUGCAGAGUUAGCUUGGUUCUAUUGUCCACCAUUGUAUUGUAUGACGUGCUACAAUGUUACAUGAUUGCCAAGAGUAACCGAUUAAAACAGCAGACUAAAAUUAAGGUUGUAAUCUUAACUUUUUGUUAGUGAUAAGAGAUAACUAGUGAUCAUUUUCAAACUAUGCUAGAUAACAUUUUUUCAUUGAACGCAAGUAAAUCUUACAUUUAUCUUUAGAGAGUUACAACGGCCAAAAUAACCAAAAUUCAUUACACUCCCUAUAUCCUACAGAAGCCCGUUUAAAUUAAUAUCGUGAUAAUUUAAUUAAAACCCUUCUCAAACCUAAAAUUAUCAUUAACAAGACCAAUUUGGACAGUAGGUGUAUCUAGUUCAGCGCGAGUUGAGCGAGGGCAGGCGAGGUCAAAUGUUCGUGGACACCACUAGAAUGUCAUAUGUGCGUAAGGAUAUCGACACGUCCGUCGGUUUGGAAGUGAAGUGCGCUUUGUUCGCUUUCAGUGUUCGUUAUAUUGCCUGUGCUGUGCGCAAACACCGAUUGUUUGGUUCGCCUGUCAAAGCGAACCGCGGCAGACGCGGGUGUCUGUGCGAAAUUGUAUAGGUAAUGGGUUAGGACCACCGGUCUGGCCUAGUGGAUAGUGACUCUACCUAUAUAGCCGAUGGUCCCGGGUUCAAAUCCUGGUAAGGGCAUUUAUUCGUGUGAUGAGUCAUGGGUGUUUUCUAUGUAUUUAAGUAUUUAUAUUAUAUAUAUAUAUCGUUGUCUAUUCAAGUACCCACAUCAAAAGCCUUAUUCAGCUUACUGUGGGACAUUAGUCAAUUUGUGUAAUAAUGUCCUGUAAUAUUUAUUUAUUAUUUAUUUUAAAUUCUAAUAGCGACUGCGUUGCA
Molecule: long non-coding RNA, 1633 nt
Organism: Cydia pomonella (codling moth)
Lineage: Eukaryota; Metazoa; Arthropoda; Insecta; Lepidoptera; Tortricidae
Exons: 3
Source: RefSeq, a predicted model, not a curated record